Long non-coding RNA from Gasterosteus aculeatus aculeatus (three-spined stickleback), 668 nucleotides. NCBI's taxonomy places the organism in Eukaryota, Metazoa, Chordata, Actinopteri, Perciformes, Gasterosteidae. The record is from Ensembl.
CAGCACGUGACCCGAGUCACAGCCGCGCCCACUUGCCAAUUAGCAGCUGCGUGACACGAGGGUGACCCGCAGCUUGCUCCCUUUUAAUUCACCUGAAUUAAUUACCGACGUUACCGUUAAUAAAGUGUAUCGAGGAAGAAGAGCUUCUCCCUGGAGUUUCCAGGAGCGACCGGAUGUUGCUGCUCGACAGCAGAUGAAAAGAGACUCCGGAUUCUUGGCGAUGGAUGGAUGGAUGGAUGGAUGGAUGGAGACCUCCAGGCCUGAGGGUCGUCAAAGUAAACAUUUGUUUUUCUUGUGUCCUCGACCUUUUCUGCACCGCUGUAAACGUCCGUAUGGCCCCUUCUUCCUCGCUCCUCGCCUCCUCUGUCCUCGCCCCCCUCCGGCCCCUCGGUGUCGUCUGGACUUCCUCGCCGAUCACGGCCUCCUCUCUUCUGCCUCUCCGACUUCUGUAAUUCUGCUCGCUCUCCCCUUCCUGAGUAAUUGAAGUAAUUUCCCACCUUGGCUAUGAUGAAUGUGUCCCACGCUCCCGCCAUGCCCUUCUACUUUAGCCGGCCUAAUUAAAGAAAACAUUCCAUGAUUGCCUAUUUUUCCUCGAGCGUGACAACCUAUUAUUCUCCCCAGCACCUGAUUAGAGAGUUAUUAUGCUUAGAUUUAGAUUGAUUUAACCG